GGGGAAUGAAAGAGAAGGGGUCCUCGGGUUAUGCUGUGGAGAAAGGAAAAUGAUCAUCGGGCUAUGCCGGGGAGGUCCACAGAUUAUGCUGGGGAGAAAGGAAGAUUAUCCUCGGGUUAUGUCGGGGAGGUCCACAGGUUAUGCUAGGAGAAAAGGAAACAAACCUCGGGUUAUGUCGGGGAGGUGCACAGGUUAUACUGGGGACAACUAGGGGGUGUGGUCCUAGGUUUGGAAGAAUGGAGUUAAGGAUUUG
Molecule: long non-coding RNA, 253 nt
Filed under: Nicotiana benthamiana
Lineage: Eukaryota; Viridiplantae; Streptophyta; Magnoliopsida; Solanales; Solanaceae
Description: long non-coding RNA (NBEN_LNC029105)
Source: RNAcentral